AAAGAAAAAAGGUCCCAGCGCACCUCCUAGACCAGAGAGGAGGGGUAGGUAUAGGUACCGCUGUUGCCGCUCGAGCUCCGCUGCCGCCGCGUCCAACUAACCUUAAGUCAAAACGUUCAGAGACGUCGCCAGUUAAUUUUUCUUCUACGGUACGAGUCAGAGCGAUGACGAUGCUUCUGAGAUUGUUUCUACAGAUCUUAGUCAGGGAGAAGCGUAGAGAUAGUUUAUUGUACUUUUGUAGUGUGAGUAAAAAACAAGUAUAAGAAUUCACAAGUAACAAGUAAUAAAAACAAGCAGCCAGACAUUCGAACGGAAGAGUCAGAAUUAAUAGUAAACGUAGAAAGAAGUCAGGAUAGAGAGUACCCAAAACAGAAAAUCAUCUACUAAUAAAGACAACACUUGGAAUACAAGGACAUUCACAAUUUUUUAAAGUCAAAAAACGUGACCAAAAAGACAAUCUAAUAAAAGUCAAAAAUCAGUAGUCAUAUGGAUUCAUAGUCAGAGUCAAGAAAAGUCGAUAUACAAUUCUCCAAUAAUAAAGCGGUCAUAGAAUUCACAGAGUAAAAUCAAGAGAAAUCAAUAAACCAGUCACAAACAAGAACAGAUAGUCAAAAUUCAAGUCAGUAAAUAAUCACAUGAAAGGUAAGUCGAAUAAUAAAAGUUAAAUAAAACAACAAGAACAUAAAAGUCGUAAGUAAAAUUUUACCAAUCUGAACGAUACACAAAUAUUAAGGACAUCACAUUUAAUCAAUAGACCACUCAGAGAUAAGAAUUAAAAAGUCAGUAGAAAAACGAUUGUUUAUCAAAAAAAAGAUGGUGUACACAUUGUCAUUAUCCCUACCACACGGUUUAGACGUUCAGGUUGACUCGAUCGGUAGCGAGUAGCCCAAAUUUAAAAGCACAAACUAACAGACUUCUGUAACUUUCGAGCCACCAUUGAAUCAAAACUUAUACGAAUUAAAUAGUCAUAUCAGAUCAAGGGACAGUACCAGUCAAUAAUCAAAUAGUGAUGUUAGAUGAAGAGACAAUACCAGUUAAAAAGUAAGUAGUCAGUAAAUAUCCUCCGAUACUACACCUAUAAUGGUGUGGAGGGACAUACAAAAUACUAUCGUACUAUCAACAGGACAAGUCAAUUUGUAAAGUAAAGAAGAAAUCAAACACAUACUAAAGUAAUAAAAAGAAAAGUCUAUAUUUGAAUCAGGAAAAUCGACUAUCUUAAUAUCGUUGAAAUCGAAAAAGUAUCUAAAGCAAAAAAGAUUAAAAGCCAGUAAUCAAAACAACGUAAAUAAAAGAAAAAAUCAGAUAGUUAAAAAUCUCAAAUCGAUAAACAGUCAGAGUAGACGUUUGCAGAGUACGGGGUUGUUCGUACUCCUAUCGGAUAGAAAACAAGAAGUAAAAGGUAAAAAAAACGAAAAAAGACGUCAAAUAGGGUACGGUGAGUUGCCCGCUUAAGUUAACGCGGUGACCGCUGGCGUACGACAAACUCCUUACACUCCCCGUGUUUAAGUAGUGGUUCUAGUCCUUUCUUGUGUCCUCCUGGACGUAGAGACCGUAACCCACCCUCCUCAAGUAGUCCAACUUGUUAGAGUCACUCCCUCAAAACGAGGUAAAACAUGAGCUAACUGGUCACGGUUUCAACGUAUAACCGUACCAACGCGGUGGAGGGUUGGUCCGACUAGAUCGCGAACUCCGACGAUACAAGUGCCUUCUGUAGUUCUUCUUCCGUUCUCUCACACGUUUCAACAUACUUUCAGAUGAUAUAACUGGUUGCCUAUGUACCCCACGGUAAACACGUAGAAAAAAACAAGUAAAAGUCACACUGGUAAGUAAGAAGUCAAAAGACCAGAGGUCAUAUAAGAACAACACCAGUCAAAACUUGAUCUCUUCUUUCAAUUUUCCCUGUAUAUCUAUUCGCUCUGAGACCAAACG
Molecule: ribosomal RNA, 1929 nt
Filed under: Triticum aestivum (bread wheat)
Lineage: Eukaryota; Viridiplantae; Streptophyta; Magnoliopsida; Poales; Poaceae
Description: partial small subunit ribosomal RNA
Source: RNAcentral